UAGCCUAUAGUUUUUUUGCACUUGCU
RNAcentral lists this non-coding RNA (26 nucleotides) under Rattus norvegicus (Norway rat). Lineage: Eukaryota; Metazoa; Chordata; Mammalia; Rodentia; Muridae. The record is from RNAcentral.